This 364-nucleotide transfer-messenger RNA is filed under the name Paenibacillaceae bacterium. It matches the Rfam family "transfer-messenger RNA". From Rfam's summary of the family: Bacterial tmRNA, also known as 10Sa RNA or SsrA, is named for its dual tRNA and mRNA-like properties. Its role is to liberate the mRNA from a stalled ribosome. Lineage: Bacteria; Bacillati; Bacillota; Bacilli; Caryophanales; Paenibacillaceae. RNAcentral also lists the same sequence under 1 other name. The record is from RNAcentral.
GGGGGCGUUAUGGAUUCGACGGGGGUAGUACGAGCAUGAGUUGCGGGUAGUGGGGAGCGUCCGCUUCAUCAACGCUAAAGCCUAUUAAAUGGCAAAUCACAAAACAACUACGCUUUAGCAGCCUAAGAAACUGUUGGCGUGCUCUUACCUAGCAUCGCCCAUGUGACUGGGAUAAGGGCUCAACUAUAGUGGGAUACGCUGAUCGGUCUCCGCCUGGGGUCGGUUAGAGGAAGAUAAUCAGGCUGACCUAACGAGUAGUCGGUUACAGGACGACUCUCGGGUGACAUCAAAGCUGUAACUACACCCGUAGAUGCUUAUGUGGCGUUAUUCUCGGACAGGGGUUCAAAUCCCCUCGCCUCCACCA